RNAcentral lists this ribosomal RNA (497 nucleotides) under uncultured bacterium. RNAcentral describes it as "partial 16S ribosomal RNA". It matches the Rfam family "Bacterial small subunit ribosomal RNA", at positions 28 to 507 of the family's 1533-position model. The record is from RNAcentral.
GAUGAACGCUGGCGGCGUGCCUAAUACAUGCAAGUCGAGCGAACAGACGAGGAGCUUGCUCCUCUGACGUUAGCGGCGGACGGGUGAGUAACACGUGGAUAACCUACCUAUAAGACUGGGAUAACUUCGGGAAACCGGAGCUAAUACCGGAUAAUAUAUUGAACCGCAUGGUUCAAUAGUGAAAGACGGUUUUGCUGUCACUUAUAGAUGGAUCCGCGCCGCAUUAGCUAGUUGGUAAGGUAACGGCUUACCAAGGCAACGAUGCGUAGCCGACCUGAGAGGGUGAUCGGCCACACUGGAACUGAGACACGGUCCAGACUCCUACGGGAGGCCGCAGUAGGGAAUCUUCCGCAAUGGGCGAAAGCUUGACGGAGCAACGCCGCGUGAGUGAUGAAGGUCUUCGGAUCGUAAAACGCUGUUAUUAGGGAAGAACAAAUGUGUAAGUAACUAUGCACGUCUUGACGGUACCUAAACAGAAAGCCACGGCUAACUACGUG